GCGACUGUAAUCUAGCUGGUUAGGAUUGUAGCCUUCCAAGCUACCUACCCGGGUUCGAAUCCCGGCGGUCGCACCA
Molecule: transfer RNA, 76 nt
Filed under: Methanomassiliicoccales archaeon RumEn M2
Lineage: Archaea; Methanobacteriati; Thermoplasmatota; Thermoplasmata; Methanomassiliicoccales
Also listed under: 3 other names
Description: tRNA-Gly
Rfam family: tRNA
About the family: Transfer RNA (tRNA) molecules are approximately 80 nucleotides in length.
Source: RNAcentral